CAGCCGCCGCGGUAAUACCGGCGGCUCGAGUGGUGGCCACUAUUACUGGGCUUAAAGCGUCCGUAGCUUGGUUGUUAAGUCUCCUGGGAAAUCCAUCGGCUCAACCGAUGGGCGUUCAGGAGAUACUGGCAACCUAGGGACCGGGAGAGGUGAGAGGUACUCCAGGGGUAGGAGUGAAACCCUGUAAU
RNAcentral lists this ribosomal RNA (188 nucleotides) under uncultured archaeon. RNAcentral's name for it is "partial 16S ribosomal RNA". It matches the Rfam family "Archaeal small subunit ribosomal RNA", at positions 459 to 646 of the family's 1478-position model. The record is from RNAcentral.